Molecule: ribosomal RNA, 482 nt
Filed under: uncultured bacterium
Lineage: Bacteria
Description: partial 16S ribosomal RNA
Rfam family: Bacterial small subunit ribosomal RNA
Source: RNAcentral
GACGAACGCUGGCGGCGUGCCUAACACAUGCAAGUCGAACGGAACUGUUUUGAAAGAUUUCUUCGGAAUGAAUUUGAUUUAGUUUAGUGGCGGACGGGUGAGUAACGCGUGAGUAACCUGCCUUCAAGAGGGGAAUAACAUUCUGAAAAGAAUGCUAAUACCGCAUGACAUAUCGGAACCACAUGGUUUUGAUAUCAAAGAUUUUAUCGCUUGAAGAUGGACUCGCGUCCGAUUAGUUAGUUGGUGAGGUAACGGCUCACCAAGACCGCGAUCGGUAGCCGGACUGAGAGGUUGAACAGCCACAUUGGGACUGAGACACGGCCCAGACUCCUACGGGAGGCAGCAGUGGGGGAUAUUGCGCAAUGGGGGCAACCCUGACGCAGCAACGCCGCGUGAAGGAUGAAGGUUUUCGGAUUGUAAACUUCUUUUAUUAAGGACGAAAAAUGACGGUACUUAAUGAAUAAGCUCCGGCUAACUACGUG